GAUGAACGCUGGCGGCGUGCCUAAUACAUGCAAGUAGAACGAUGAAGGUUGGUGCUUGCACCGAACGGAUGAGUUGCGAACGGGUGAGUGACGCGUAGAUAACCCGUCUCCUAGAGGGGGGUAAAUCUGUUGAACGCUAGUUAAUACAGCAUAAAAGUCGAUAUCGCAUGAUAUUGAUUGGAAAGGAGCAAAUGCAUCUUUACAAGAUGGAACUGCGUGGGAUUAGCUAGUUGGUGAGGUAACGGCUCACCAAGGCGACGAUACAUAGCCGAUCUGAGAGGGUGAACGGCCACACUGGGACUGAGACACGGCCCAGACUCCUACGGGAGGCAGCAGUAGGGAAUCUUCCGCAAUGGGGGCAAGUCUGACCGAGCAACGCCGCGUGAGUGAAGACGGUCUUCGGGUUGUAAAGCUCUGUUGUAAGAGAAGAACGGGUGUGGGAGUGGAAAGUCCACACUGUGACGGUAACUGAACAGAAAGGGACGGCUAACUACGUG
This 497-nucleotide ribosomal RNA is filed under the name uncultured bacterium. Its description in RNAcentral is "partial 16S ribosomal RNA". It matches the Rfam family "Bacterial small subunit ribosomal RNA", at positions 28 to 507 of the family's 1533-position model. The record is from RNAcentral.